UAACACCGGACGGUCUUUGGUGAUUCAUAGUAACUUUUCGAAUCGCAUGACUUUACGUCGGCGAUGGUUCAUUCAAAUUUCUGCCCUAUCAAGUUUCGAUGGUAGGAUAGAGGCCUACCAUGCUUUUUACGGGUAACGGCGAAUUAGGGUUCGAUUCCGGAGAGGGAGCCUGAGAAACGGCUACCACAUCUAAGGAAGGCAGCAGGCGCGCAAAUUACCCAAUCCUGAUUCAGGGAGGUAGUGACAAUAAAUAACAAUCCAGGACUUCGGUCUUGGAAUUGGAAUGAGAACAAUUUAAAUCUCUUAUCGAGGAACAAUUGGAGGGCAAGUCUGGUGCCAGCAGCCGCGGUAAUUCCAGCUCCAAUAGCGUAUAUUACAGUUGUUGCAGUUAACAUAGCUCGUAGUUGAAUCUUGGGGCUGGUUUGGCGGUCGCGUCUUUGACGUGUACUGUCGGCCGGUUCUUUUACUUGUGGGGAACGUAUGUGCCCUUUGCGGGGUGUGUACGGGAACCAUGGCUGUUACUUUGAAAACAUUAGAGUGUUUAACAGCGGGCGUAAGCUUGUAUACCAUUAGCAUGGAAUACUAGGAAUAGGACUUUGGUUUAUUCGUGGUUCUAGGGCCGAAGUAACUGAUUACUAGGGAAUAGUCGGGGGGCAUUAGUAUUUACUAGUCAGAGGUGAAAUUCUUGGUUUAUGAAAGAUUAACUUCUGCGAAAAGCAUUUUGGCCAAGGGAUGGUUCCAUUGAUCCAAGGAACGGAAAAGUUCAGGGGGAUCCGAC
RNAcentral lists this ribosomal RNA (778 nucleotides) under uncultured fungus. Its description in RNAcentral is "bacterial SSU rRNA". It matches the Rfam family "Eukaryotic small subunit ribosomal RNA", at positions 223 to 1013 of the family's 1831-position model. Lineage: Eukaryota; Fungi. The record is from RNAcentral.